UGGCCGAGUCGGUCUAAGGCGCCACGUUAAGGCCGUGGUCUCUUCGGAGGCGUGGGUUCGAAUCCC
Non-coding RNA from Quaeritorhiza haematococci, 66 nucleotides. Lineage: Eukaryota; Fungi; Chytridiomycota; Chytridiomycetes; Quaeritorhizaceae. The record is from the annotation of a GenBank genome assembly.